AGGGAAAUAGCUUAGUGGUAGAGCACAUACUUAGCAUGCACGAGGUCCUGGGUUCAAUCCCCAGUACCUCCA
RNAcentral lists this transfer RNA (72 nucleotides) under Camelus bactrianus (Bactrian camel). It matches the Rfam family "tRNA". From Rfam's summary of the family: Transfer RNA (tRNA) molecules are approximately 80 nucleotides in length. Their secondary structure includes four short double-helical elements and three loops (D, anti-codon, and T loops). Further hydrogen bonds mediate the characteristic L-shaped molecular structure. tRNAs have two regions of fundamental functional importance: the anti-codon, which is responsible for specific mRNA codon recognition, and the 3' end, to which the tRNAs corresponding amino acid is attached (by aminoacyl-tRNA synthetases). tRNAs cope with the degeneracy of the genetic code in two manners: having more than one tRNA (with a specific anti-codon) for a particular amino acid; and 'wobble' base-pairing, i.e. permitting non-standard base-pairing at the 3rd anti-codon position. Lineage: Eukaryota; Metazoa; Chordata; Mammalia; Artiodactyla; Camelidae. The record is from Rfam by way of RNAcentral. RNAcentral also lists the same sequence under 2 other names.